UGUUAUUUUGGCAGAAUAGUGUAAUAGAUUUAGAAUCUAUCUAAGUAAAUUUUAUUUACAUAUAACA
Molecule: transfer RNA, 67 nt
Filed under: Agrilus sinuatus (hawthorn jewel beetle)
Lineage: Eukaryota; Metazoa; Arthropoda; Insecta; Coleoptera; Buprestidae
Description: tRNA-Leu
Source: RNAcentral